Molecule: ribosomal RNA, 2246 nt
Filed under: Tepidiphilus margaritifer DSM 15129
Lineage: Bacteria; Pseudomonadati; Pseudomonadota; Hydrogenophilia; Hydrogenophilales; Hydrogenophilaceae
Description: bacterial LSU rRNA
Rfam family: Bacterial large subunit ribosomal RNA
Source: RNAcentral
AGUCGCGCGGCGUAGACCCGAAACCGGGUGAUCUAUCCAUGGCCAGGGUGAAGGCACCCUAACCGGUGCUGGAGGCCCGAACCCACUACUGUUGCAAAAGUAGGGGAUGAGCUGUGGAUAGGGGUGAAAGGCUAAACAAACCCGGAAAUAGCUGGUUCUCCCCGAAAGCUAUUGAGGUAGCGCGUCGCAUGGACACUUGCGGGGGUAGAGCACUGUCAUCGUUGGGGGGGUCAUUGCGAUCUACCCCGCGAUAGCAAACUCCGAAUACCGCAACGUGAUGUGCGGCAGACAGACACCGGGUGCUAACGUCCGGUGUCAAGAGGGAAACAACCCAGACCGCCAGCUAAGGCCCCCAAUGCGUGGCUAAGUGGGAAACGAAGUGGGAAGGCGAAGACAGCUAGGAGGUUGGCUUAGAAGCAGCCACCCUUUAAAGAAAGCGUAAUAGCUCACUAGUCGAGUCGUCCUGCGCGGAAGAUGUAACGGGGCUCAAGCCACGAGCCGAAGCUGCGGAUGCGUGCCCUCGGGCACGCGUGGUAGGGGAGCGUUCGGUAAGCCUGCGAAGGUGGCCCGAGAGGGCUGCUGGAGGUAUCCGAAGUGCGAAUGCUGACAUGAGUAGCGAUAAAACGGGUGAAAAGCCCGUUCGCCGAAAGCCCAAGGGUUCCGACGCAACGUUCAUCGGCGUCGGGUCAGUCGGCCCCUAAGGCGAGGCCGAAAGGCGUAGUCGAUGGGAAACGGGUCAACAUUCCCGUACCAUCCUGUAAUGCGAUGGGGGGACGAAGAAGGCUAAGUGGGUCGGGUGUUGGACGUCCCGAUUCAAGCCCGUAGCCUGGCGCGGUAGGCAAAUCCGCCGCGCUAAAGGUGAGAGGUGAUGACGAGGGUGAGCUGCGGCUUGCCCAAGCCACCGACGCCCCGCUUCCAGGAAAAGCCUCUAAGCUUCAGUUACAGGAUGACCGUACCGCAAACCGACACAGGUGGGCUGGUGUCAAAGCACCAAGGCGCUUGAGAGAACCCAGGAGAAGGAACUCGGCAAAUUGACACCGUAACUUCGGGAGAAGGUGUGCCCCAAGUAGGUGAGUCUGCACGCCAGACGAGCCCAAAGGGGUCGCAGAGAAUCGGGGGCUGCGACUGUUUAUUAAAAACACAGCACUCUGCCAAGACGAAAGUCGACGUAUAGGGUGUGACGCCUGCCCGGUGCCGGAAGGUUAAGUGAUGGGGUGCAAGCUCCUGAUCGAAGCCCCGGUAAACGGCGGCCGUAACUAUAACGGUCCUAAGGUAGCGAAAUUCCUUGUCGGGUAAGUUCCGACCUGCACGAAUGGCGUAACGAUGGCCCCACUGUCUCCUCCUGGGACUCAGCGAAAUUGAAAUGGUUGUGAAGAUGCAAUCUCCCCGCGGCUAGACGGAAAGACCCCAUGAACCUUUACUGUAGCUUUGCAUUGGACUUUGAUGUGGCCUGUGUAGGAUAGGUGGGAGGCUGAGAAACCGGGGCGCCAGCUCCGGCGGAGCCGCCCUUGAAAUACCACCCUGGUCACCUCGAGGUUCUAACCGCGCACCGUACAUCCGGUGCCGGGACCGUGCAUGGCAGGCAGUUUGACUGGGGCGGUCUCCUCCCAAAAGGUAACGGAGGAGCACGAAGGUACGCUUGGCACGGUCGGAAAUCGUGCUGUAUGUGCAAGGGCAUAAGCGUGCUUGACUGUGAGGCCGACGAGCCGAACAGGUGCGAAAGCAGGUCCUAGUGAUCCGGUGGUUCUGUAUGGAAGGGCCAUCGCUCAACGGAUAAAAGGUACUCUGGGGAUAACAGGCUGAUACCGCCCAAGAGUUCACAUCGACGGCGGUGUUUGGCACCUCGAUGUCGGCUCAUCUCAUCCUGGGGCUGUAGUCGGUCCCAAGGGUAUGGCUGUUCGCCAUUUAAAGAGGUACGUGAGCUGGGUUUAAAACGUCGUGAGACAGUUUGGUCCCUAUCUGCCGUGGGCGCUGGAAGUUUGAGGGGAUCUGCUCCUAGUACGAGAGGACCGGAGUGGACGCACCUCUGGUGUACCGGUUGUGACGCCAGUCGCAUCGCCGGGUAGCUAUGUGCGGAAGGAAUAACCGCUGAAAGCAUCUAAGCGGGAAAUCCCCCCCAAGAUGAGACUUCCCCGGGGGCUCGACCCCCCUGAAGGGCCGUGGAAGACCACCACGUCGAUAGGGCGCAGGUGUAAGGCGGGUAACCGCUUGAGCUGAGCGCUACUAAUUGCCCGUGCGGCUUGAUC